Molecule: ribosomal RNA, 424 nt
Filed under: uncultured bacterium
Lineage: Bacteria
Description: bacterial SSU rRNA
Rfam family: Bacterial small subunit ribosomal RNA
Source: RNAcentral
UAAGGAAUAUUGGACAAUGGUGGAAACACUGAUCCAGCCAUGCCGCGUGCAGGAUGACAGCCCUAUGGGUCGUAAACUGCUUUUGUACGGGAAAAAACCUCUUUACGUGUAAAGAGCUGAUUGUACUGUAAGAAUAAGGAUCGGCUAACUCCGUGCCAGCAGCCGCGGUAAUACGGAGGAUCCAAGCGUUAUCCGGAUUCAUUGGGUUUAAAGGGUGCGUAGGCGGAAUAAUAAGUCAGUGGUGAAAGCCUGUUGCUUAACAACAGAACUGCCAUUGAUACUGUUAAUCUUGAGUACAUUUGAUGUGGGCGGAAUGUGUCAUGUAGCGGUGAAAUGCUUAGAUAUGACACAGAACACCGAUUGCGAAGGCAGCUCACAAAACUGUAACUGACGCUGAGGCACGAAAGCGUGGGUAUCAAACAGG